CUCUUGACUAUGCUUGAUGUAUUGCAUUCCGUAUGAGGAAAUCAUGGCAUGCAACAUGUAGUGAGUGCAUUAUAUAACCCAGUUAAGGCAUCUGUUGUAUGGCUCAAGAGUUCCAUCUGACUGUCAGAAGCCAAUCUACGUCUGUGAUUGUAUAAGUAUGCAGUUAGUUGACUUUAAUGGUGUCUUUCUGAGCAUCUGUCGAUCAAGACACAAUAGGCAGGUGCAACACCCUGAUGAAAUACUGUGCAGAUGUAAUAUCUUGAAUAUACCUAGGUUGAUACCAUUCUUGGGAGUCCAAGAUAGUAACUAUGAGGCCAAUUGUCAAUGGGGGGGGGAGUGGGGGAGGAGGAGAGUAACAUUUAUCCAGUACAUAGGCUUUAAACAGAAUUGUAAACGACUUCUGUAGUUGACGUUGGGGCAGAUUCUCAGCUGGUAUAAAUUGGCAAAGCAUCAGAGUAGCUAGGGUCUGGCACAUGUCUCGAGAUAAGACUCUCAUAGCAGUGUGUGCUGUGGUUUCUGGAACUAACUCCGCUGUUUCCCAAAGAUUGAGCUGUUUCAUGAAUAUAGCCAUAUACUUGUAUGUUACGCAGUCAGUGCAUGAUCACCUGAAUGGCUUUAACUGGUGUACAUAAUGAAAUUAAGGGAACAAAGUUUGUCAUCCUAAGACACCAGACCUUUAACGAGGCUCAGGUAACCUCUGACAGUGCUUAUGGUGCUAACAAAGCCUUUGUAGAAGACUUUGAGACUUCAAUCAGCAUUGACUUUCCAGAAGAUGAGGAGUAUGUUGGUGAAGUGCUAGACUGUGGUUCUUCGGAUAUAUCAGUUCAUGGAAGAACAGAAGAAGCUCAGCAUGCAGAUGAAAAAGAUGACAGAAAUAGCAGUAUCCCAGAAGUUGUGAUCACACAGGCAGAUGAGAAUGUAACAGAGGAAAUCUUUGAAUGA
Molecule: long non-coding RNA, 942 nt
Filed under: Chrysemys picta bellii (western painted turtle)
Lineage: Eukaryota; Metazoa; Chordata; Testudines; Emydidae
Description: lncRNA (ENSCPBG00000012179.1)
Source: RNAcentral